Molecule: ribosomal RNA, 235 nt
Filed under: uncultured bacterium
Lineage: Bacteria
Description: partial 16S ribosomal RNA
Rfam family: Bacterial small subunit ribosomal RNA
Source: RNAcentral
UGGCGGACGGGUGAGUAAUGUCUGGGAAACUGCCCGAUGGAGGGGGAUAACUACUGGAAACGGUAGCUAAUACCGCAUAACGUCGCAAGACCAAAGAGGGGGACCUUCGGGCCUCUUGCCAUCGGAUGUGCCCAGAUGGGAUUAGCUAGUAGGUGGGGUAACGGCUCACCUAGGCGACGACCCCUAGCUGGUCUGAGAGGAUGACCAGCCACACUGGAACUGAGACACGGUCCAG